RNAcentral lists this ribosomal RNA (406 nucleotides) under Blastocystis sp. Its description in RNAcentral is "SSU rRNA". It matches the Rfam family "Eukaryotic small subunit ribosomal RNA", at positions 573 to 989 of the family's 1831-position model. Lineage: Eukaryota; Bigyra; Opalinata; Blastocystidae. The record is from RNAcentral.
GCCGCGGUAAUUCCAGCUCCAAUAGCGUAUAUUAACGUUGUUGCAGUUAAAAAGCUCGUAGUUGAAGUGUGGGUGAUCGCUGUUGUGAGACUUCGGUCUCUCGAUAGUAAGUCACCCCCUUCCAGUAUCCAGUAGUGGGUAUUCAGUUACUUACUAUUGUGUGUUGGUCCUUUACUGUGAGAAAAUUAGAGUGUUCAAAGCAGGCGUUUGCUUGAAUAGAUUAGCAUGGAAUAAUAAUUGAAGGCUUUCGUGUUCGAUUUGAUUGGUUUGUUCAUGGAAGCAAGGUUAAAAGGAACAGUUGGGGGUAUUCAUAUUCACUAGUUAGAGGUGAAAUUCUCGGAUUUAUGGAAGAUGAACAAGUGCGAAAGCAUUUACCAAGGAUGUUUUCAUUAAUCAAGAACGAAAG